CCUACGGGAGGCAGCAGUGGGGAAUAUUGCACAAUGGGGGAAACCCUGAUGCAGCAACGCCGCGUGAGUGAAGAAGUAUUUCGGUAUGUAAAGCUCUAUCAGCAGGGACGAAGACGACGGUACCUGACUAAGAAGCCCCGGCCAAAUACGUGCCAGCAGCCGGGGUAAUACGUAGGGGGCAAGCGUUAUCCGGAUUUACUGGGUGUAAAGGGGGCGUAGACGGUGAGAUAAGUCUGAAGUGAAAGGCCGGGGCUCAACCCCGGGACUGCAUUGGAAACUGGCUGACUGGAGUGCUGGAGAGGCAAGCGGAAUUCCUAGUGUAGCGGUGAAAUGCGUAGAUAUUAGGAAGAACACCAGUGGCGAAGGCGGCUUGCUGGACCGUAACUGACGUUGAGGCUCGAAAGCGUGGGGAGCAAACGGGAUUAGAUACCCUUGUAGUC
RNAcentral lists this ribosomal RNA (440 nucleotides) under uncultured bacterium. Its description in RNAcentral is "partial 16S ribosomal RNA". It matches the Rfam family "Bacterial small subunit ribosomal RNA", at positions 338 to 795 of the family's 1533-position model. The record is from RNAcentral.